GAGGUUGUGGCUCAGCGGUAGAACACUUGACUAGCAUGCAGGAGGCACUGCGUUUGAUCCUCAGCACCACA
RNAcentral lists this transfer RNA (71 nucleotides) under Marmota monax (woodchuck). RNAcentral describes it as "tRNA.Ala". Lineage: Eukaryota; Metazoa; Chordata; Mammalia; Rodentia; Sciuridae. The record is from RNAcentral.